Molecule: small nuclear RNA, 104 nt
Organism: Oryctolagus cuniculus (rabbit)
Lineage: Eukaryota; Metazoa; Chordata; Mammalia; Lagomorpha; Leporidae
Gene: U2
Rfam family: U2 spliceosomal RNA
About the family: U2 is a small nuclear RNA (snRNA) component of the spliceosome (involved in pre-mRNA splicing). Complementary binding between U2 snRNA (in an area lying towards the 5' end but 3' to hairpin I) and the branchpoint sequence (BPS) of the intron results the bulging out of an unpaired adenosine, on the BPS, which initiates a nucleophilic attack at the intronic 5' splice site, thus starting the first of two transesterification reactions that mediate splicing.
Source: Ensembl
AUCGCUUCUUGGCCUUUUGGCUAAGAUCAAGUGUAGAAUCUGUUCUUCACAGAAGAUGAACCCAAAAGCCCAGGGAUUGGAGCCAAAAGCCAUCGAGAACUAUU